The sequence is a ribosomal RNA, 731 nucleotides long. It matches the Rfam family "Bacterial small subunit ribosomal RNA", at positions 173 to 1344 of the family's 1533-position model.
UGCAAGUAUCCGCACCCCUGUGAAAACGCCCUUAAAAUCCUUAUAGGAAUAAGGAGCCGGUAUCAGGCACAUUAAAUUGCCCAAGACACCUAGCUAUGCCACACCCACAAGGGAUUUCAGCAGUGAUUAACAUUGAACAUAAGCGUCAGCUUGAUUCAGUUAAAGUACAUAAAGCCGGCAAAUCUGGUGCCAGCCGCCGCGGUUACACCAAGAGGCUUAAGCUGACUUCGAUCGGCGUAAAGCGUGAUUAAAGUCCCCCGGAAAAUAAAGUUAAACUUCUACUAAGCCGUAGUACGCUUGUACGCAGGAAUCUCAAAAACGAAAGUUACUUUAACCUAAACAACUUGAACUCACGACAGCUAGGAAACAAACUGGGAUUAGAUACCCCACUAUGCCUAGCCGUAAACUUUAAAUUACACCAUAAUCGCCUGGGGACUACGAGCAAAGCUUAAAACCCAAAGGACUUGACGGUACCCCACAUCCACCUAGAGGAGCCUGUCCUAUAAUCGAUAACCCCCGCUUAACCUCACCAUUUUUAGCCUAUCAGCCUGUAUACCUCCGUCGUCAGCUUACCACGUGAGCGAAACCCAGUAAGCUCAAAGUCUANUCGUCAACACGUCAGGUCAAGGUGCAGUAAAUAAAAUGGGAAGAGAUGGGNUACACUCUCUAAUAUAGAAAAAACGAAAAACUAUCUAUGAAAUCUAGUUAGAAGGAGGAUUUAGUAGUAAAAA